Molecule: non-coding RNA, 44 nt
Organism: Schistosoma haematobium
Lineage: Eukaryota; Metazoa; Platyhelminthes; Trematoda; Strigeidida; Schistosomatidae
Source: Rfam
AUUGAUCUGGAAGUCCCAAAUAGGACGAAACGCGCGUCCUGAAU